This is a long non-coding RNA of Serinus canaria (Common canary), 1014 nucleotides long. RefSeq lists it as uncharacterized. The transcript has 3 exons. The record is from RefSeq and is a predicted model, not a curated record. Lineage: Eukaryota; Metazoa; Chordata; Aves; Passeriformes; Fringillidae.
CGGGCCCGGAGGCGGCGGGGGAAGCACGGAGCGGGGGAGCAGAGCGCAGGGCAGGGGGCAGCCCCCGCCGGUACCAGGGCGGGCCCCCUGAGCCCCCUGUAGCCCAUACCGGCCCUUCGCCUUGACCUUCGAGCACAACAUGCAUCUCAGUGCAGCUGGACAGCACACAGUGAUUCAAAGCACAGUGAGUGAAGUGGAAAAGAAAAUCAGUCCCUCAGGAAUGCUGUGAUGUACAGUGCCACACAGCCUGGAGAUAUUUUUGUCCAGCAGGCUCAGAUAAAUACACAAGAAGCAGAGGUUAAACAUAUCUCCUCCUCACGCCGGUGGCACGCAAGACCUCUGCAGCAGGAUCGCUGUCAGGUUCGCUUUGCGCGCACAGAUCCUUGCGGAGCCACACGUUCACAGCAGAGGCCGCCGCCGUGCCCGUGCUCCUGGAGAGGGAAGGACCAGACUGGGGCUGGCCCCGAACGCCCUCUCACGGUGACAGUCACAGCCCGUGACAGUCACAGCGCAGAGCCGGCCGGGGAAGCCGCAUCGCGAACAGCGAGGCAAGAAACUCGCCCCUCACCGCGCUCCGAAGCGAGCGGCGCGCCGCGAACCCCCGCUGCCUGACAGAGCCCAGUGCCCUUCCAAAACUCUGAUUCAUUUCAGAGUUCUGCCUCCGAAUUUAGUGGCCAUGCGAAGAGACCUGCACAACGUUUCAUUUCCCAGCAGACUGAUUUCCUGCUUAGCUAAUCUCAAAAGCCAGUACUGUUUUCCCCCGCUAAAGAGACUGUUUUGUUUAUUUGAGUGAAUUAUUUGACUUACUAAAUAAUACCCUUGUCCUGGCAACAUUAUCAUGUAGUAUUUUGUUUUAUCUAUUAACUGUUGGAUCACAAUACGCUUUGUUGUAUUCCCACCGCCAGAGGACUGAAUCUCUUUAGCAACAAAUUAAAUCUAGAUAGCGCAAGCAGUUCCUCUAACAAUAUUUCUUUGUGCUUAAGAAAAUACAAUAAAGUAUUUCUUAAAAGGUCA